RNAcentral lists this ribosomal RNA (369 nucleotides) under uncultured Streptococcus sp. RNAcentral's name for it is "bacterial SSU rRNA". It matches the Rfam family "Bacterial small subunit ribosomal RNA", at positions 1014 to 1382 of the family's 1533-position model. The record is from RNAcentral. Lineage: Bacteria; Bacillati; Bacillota; Bacilli; Lactobacillales; Streptococcaceae.
GUUACUUCGGUACGAUCGGUGACAGGUGGUGCAUGGUUGUCGUCAGCUCGUGUCGUGAGAUGUUGGGUUAAGUCCCGCAACGAGCGCAACCCCUAUUGUUAGUUGCCAUCAUUCAGUUUGGGCACUCUAGCGAGACUGCCGGUAAUAAACCGGAGGAAGGUGGGGAUGACGUCAAAUCAUCAUGCCCCUUAUGACCUGGGCUACACACGUGCUACAAUGGUUGGUACAACGAGUUGCGAGUCGGUGACGGCGAGCUAAUCUCUUAAAGCCAAUCUCAGUUCGGAUUGUAGGCUGCAACUCGCCUACAUGAAGUCGGAAUCGCUAGUAAUCGCGGAUCAGCACGCCGCGGUGAAUACGUUCCCGGGCCUU